UUAAGCGACUAAGCGUACACGGUGGAUGCCCUGGCAGUCAGAGGCGAUGAAGGACGUGCUAAUCUGCGAUAAGCGUCGGUAAGGUGAUAUGAACCGUUAUAACCGGCGAUUUCCGAAUGGGGAAACCCAGUGUGAUUCGUCACACUAUCAUUAACUGAAUCCAUAGGUUAAUGAGGCGAACCGGGGGAACUGAAACAUCUAAGUACCCCGAGGAAAAGAAAUCAACCGAGAUUCCCCCAGUAGCGGCGAGCGAACGGGGAGCAGCCCAGAGCCUGAAUCAGUGUGUGUGUUAGUGGAAGCGUCUGGAAAGGCGCGCGAUACAGGGUGACAGCCCCGUACACAAAAAUGCACAUGCUGUGAGCUCGAUGAGUAGGGCGGGACACGUGGUAUCCUGUCUGAAUAUGGGGGGACCAUCCUCCAAGGCUAAAUACUCCUGACUGACCGAUAGUGAACCAGUACCGUGAGGGAAAGGCGAAAAGAACCCCGGCGAGGGGAGUGAAAAAGAACCUGAAACCGUGUACGUACAAGCAGUGGGAGCACAGAGCAAUCUGUGUGACUGCGUACCUUUUGUAUAAUGGGUCAGCGACUUAUAUUCUGUAGCAAGGUUAACCGAAUAGGGGAGCCGAAGGGAAACCGAGUCUUAACUGGGCGUUAAGUUGCAGGGUAUAGACCCGAAACCCGGUGAUCUAGCCAUGGGCAGGUUGAAGGUUGGGUAACACUAACUGGAGGACCGAACCGACUAAUGUUGAAAAAUUAGCGGAUGACUUGUGGCUGGGGGUGAAAGGCCAAUCAAACCGGGAGAUAGCUGGUUCUCCCCGAAAGCUAUUUAGGUAGCGCCUCGUGAAUUCAUCUCCGGGGGUAGAGCACUGUUUCGGCAAGGGGGUCAUCCCGACUUACCAACCCGAUGCAAACUGCGAAUACCGGAGAAUGUUAUCACGGGAGACACACGGCGGGUGCUAACGUCCGUCGUGAAGAGGGAAACAACCCAGACCGCCAGCUAAGGUCCCAAAGUCAUGGUUAAGUGGGAAACGAUGUGGGAAGGCCCAGACAGCCAGGAUGUUGGCUUAGAAGCAGCCAUCAUUUAAAGAAAGCGUAAUAGCUCACUGGUCGAGUCGGCCUGCGCGGAAGAUGUAACGGGGCUAAACCAUGCACCGAAGCUGCGGCAGCGACGCUUAUGCGUUGUUGGGUAGGGGAGCGUUCUGUAAGCCUGCGAAGGUGUGCUGUGAGGCAUGCUGGAGGUAUCAGAAGUGCGAAUGCUGACAUAAGUAACGAUAAAGCGGGUGAAAAGCCCGCUCGCCGGAAGACCAAGGGUUCCUGUCCAACGUUAAUCGGGGCAGGGUGAGUCGACCCCUAAGGCGAGGCCGAAAGGCGUAGUCGAUGGGAAACAGGUUAAUAUUCCUGUACUUGGUGUUACUGCGAAGGGGGGACGGAGAAGGCUAUGUUGGCCGGGCGACGGUUGUCCCGGUUUAAGCGUGUAGGCUGGUUUUCCAGGCAAAUCCGGAAAAUCAAGGCUGAGGCGUGAUGACGAGGCACUACGGUGCUGAAGCAACAAAUGCCCUGCUUCCAGGAAAAGCCUCUAAGCAUCAGGUAACAUCAAAUCGUACCCCAAACCGACACAGGUGGUCAGGUAGAGAAUACCAAGGCGCUUGAGAGAACUCGGGUGAAGGAACUAGGCAAAAUGGUGCCGUAACUUCGGGAGAAGGCACGCUGAUAUGUAGGUGAAGUCCCUCGCGGAUGGAGCUGAAAUCAGUCGAAGAUACCAGCUGGCUGCAACUGUUUAUUAAAAACACAGCACUGUGCAAACACGAAAGUGGACGUAUACGGUGUGACGCCUGCCCGGUGCCGGAAGGUUAAUUGAUGGGGUCAGCGCAAGCGAAGCUCUUGAUCGAAGCCCCGGUAAACGGCGGCCGUAACUAUAACGGUCCUAAGGUAGCGAAAUUCCUUGUCGGGUAAGUUCCGACCUGCACGAAUGGCGUAAUGAUGGCCAGGCUGUCUCCACCCGAGACUCAGUGAAAUUGAACUCGCUGUGAAGAUGCAGUGUACCCGCGGCAAGACGGAAAGACCCCGUGAACCUUUACUAUAGCUUGACACUGAACAUUGAGCCUUGAUGUGUAGGAUAGGUGGGAGGCUUUGAAGUGUGGACGCCAGUCUGCAUGGAGCCGACCUUGAAAUACCACCCUUUAAUGUUUGAUGUUCUAACGUUGACCCGUAAUCCGGGUUGCGGACAGUGUCUGGUGGGUAGUUUGACUGGGGCGGUCUCCUCCUAAAGAGUAACGGAGGAGCACGAAGGUUGGCUAAUCCUGGUCGGACAUCAGGAGGUUAGUGCAAUGGCAUAAGCCAGCUUGACUGCGAGCGUGACGGCGCGAGCAGGUGCGAAAGCAGGUCAUAGUGAUCCGGUGGUUCUGAAUGGAAGGGCCAUCGCUCAACGGAUAAAAGGUACUCCGGGGAUAACAGGCUGAUACCGCCCAAGAGUUCAUAUCGACGGCGGUGUUUGGCACCUCGAUGUCGGCUCAUCACAUCCUGGGGCUGAAGUAGGUCCCAAGGGUAUGGCUGUUCGCCAUUUAAAGUGGUACGCGAGCUGGGUUUAGAACGUCGUGAGACAGUUCGGUCCCUAUCUGCCGUGGGCGCUGGAGAACUGAGGGGGGCUGCUCCUAGUACGAGAGGACCGGAGUGGACGCAUCACUGGUGUUCGGGUUGUCAUGCCAAUGGCACUGCCCGGUAGCUAAAUGCGGAAGAGAUAAGUGCUGAAAGCAUCUAAGCACGAAACUUGCCCCGAGAUGAGUUCUCCCUGACUCCUUGAGAGUCCUGAAGGAACGUUGAAGACGACGACGUUGAUAGGCCGGGUGUGUAAGCGCAGCGAUGCGUUGAGCUAACCGGUACUAAUGAACCGUGAGGCUUAACCUU
Molecule: ribosomal RNA, 2904 nt
Filed under: Escherichia coli
Lineage: Bacteria; Pseudomonadati; Pseudomonadota; Gammaproteobacteria; Enterobacterales; Enterobacteriaceae
Description: bacterial LSU rRNA
Rfam family: Bacterial large subunit ribosomal RNA
Source: RNAcentral